RNAcentral lists this ribosomal RNA (802 nucleotides) under uncultured cyanobacterium. RNAcentral describes it as "bacterial SSU rRNA". It matches the Rfam family "Bacterial small subunit ribosomal RNA", at positions 74 to 905 of the family's 1533-position model. The record is from RNAcentral. Lineage: Bacteria; Bacillati; Cyanobacteriota.
AGUCGAACGAGGCUUCCGAUUGGUGGAGUACGGGUGAGUAACCCGGGGGAAUCUGCCCUCUGGAGGGGGAUAACGGCCGGAAACGGCCGCUUAUACCCCAUAUGCCCAGAGGUGAAAUGAAUUUCGCCUGAGGAUGAGCCCGCGUCUGAUUAAUUAUUUGGUGAGGUAAGAGAUCACCUACGCAUCGUUCAAUAUCUGGUCUGAGAGGAUGAUCAAUCACACUGGUAGUGAGACACGGCCCACACUCCUUCCGGAGGGAGGAGUGGGGAAUUUUCCUCACUGGGCGAAAGACUGACGGAGCAACGCCUCGCGAGGGAUGAAAGACUCUGGGCUGUAAACCUCUUUUAUCUUGGAAGAAGAUCUGACGGUGCUUGAUGAAUAAACCACGGCUAAUUCCGUGCCAGCAGCCGCGGUAAUACGGGAGUGGCAAGCGUUAUCCGGAAUUAUUGGGCGUAAAGCGUCCGCAGGCGGGCCAACAAGUCUGCUGGUAAAAAGUGGAGAUUAACUCCAUCAUGGCAGCGUAAACUGUUGUCCUAUAGAGUGUUAGGGGCAGAGGGAAUUCCCGGUGUAUCGAUGAAAUGCUUACAUAUCGGAAAGAACACCACUGGCGAAGGCGCUCUGCUGUGCCAUCACUGACGCUCAUGGACAAAAGCCAGGGGAGCGAAAGGGAUUAGAUACCCCUGUAGUCCUGGCCGGAAAAGAUGAACACUAGGAGUCGUGGGAAUCCACCCCUCCGGGGUCAUAACCAACAGCGUUAACUGUUCCCCCUGGGAGAGUACGCACGCAAGUUGUGAAACUCAAA